Molecule: long non-coding RNA, 410 nt
Filed under: Sus scrofa (pig)
Lineage: Eukaryota; Metazoa; Chordata; Mammalia; Artiodactyla; Suidae
Description: lncRNA (ENSSSCG00050019003.1)
Source: RNAcentral
AACACUCAAGUUUCCUACCAUUUCCCACUUUAAUUUGUGUAUGUUUUUAAUUCAAAUCACCUUCAAAUGGGUUUCCACACAUUAAAAAGAAGAAAAUCACCUGAGAUGAGAACUCAGCAUCUCUCUCUAAAUAGGGGGUUCUGUUAGCAGCCUUUCCGCGGCUAAUUGGGAAUUAUACGGUGCGUAGUGUACUUUUCACGAUUCCAAGCACAGCCAACUCCAUCUAAACCGUUACGCCAGCACUUAGACUUGCCACAGAUCAAGUUACCAAUUGCUUCUGUUGUGUUCACUUAUUCCCAGAUGCUCUUUGAGGUAAGAGCUGGCUGAUGCUAAACAUGUUUUAGUUUUAAACUGAAAAGACUUUGCAUGUAUAAUUUAGUAUUCCAUAGUAAACAAUAUAAGACAAUUUU